Molecule: ribosomal RNA, 253 nt
Filed under: uncultured bacterium
Lineage: Bacteria
Description: partial 16S ribosomal RNA
Rfam family: Bacterial small subunit ribosomal RNA
Source: RNAcentral
UACGAAGGGGGCUAGCGUUGUUCGGAAUUACUGGGCGUAAAGCGCACGUAGGCGGAUAUUUAAGUCGGGGGUGAAAUCCCGGGGCUCAACCCCGGAACUGCCUUCGAUACUGGGUAUCUUGAGUUCGGAAGAGGUGAGUGGAAUUGCGAGUGUAGAGGUGAAAUUCGUAGAUAUUCGCAGGAACACCAGUGGCGAAGGCGGCUCACUGGUCCAUUACUGACGCUGAGGUGCGAAAGCGUGGGGAGCAAACAGG